RNAcentral lists this ribosomal RNA (562 nucleotides) under Trigonopterus paracollaris. RNAcentral describes it as "partial large subunit ribosomal RNA". It matches the Rfam family "Bacterial large subunit ribosomal RNA", at positions 1804 to 2636 of the family's 2925-position model. The record is from RNAcentral. Lineage: Eukaryota; Metazoa; Arthropoda; Insecta; Coleoptera; Curculionidae.
UUAUUAAAAACAUGGCUUGUUGAGAAUAAUUUCAAGUCUGACCUGCCCACUGAUUAGUUAAAUGGCCGCGGUAUUUUGACCGUGCAAAGGUAGCAUAAUCACUAGUUUUUUAAUUGAAAGCUUGAAUGAAAGGUUUGAUGAAAAAAUAACUGUCUCUGGAAAAAUUUAUUAAAAUUUUAUUUUUAAGUAAGAAAGCUUAAAUCUUUAUGGAAGACGAGAAGACCCUGUAGAGUUUUAUUUAUGUUUUUAUUGAUUGAAUUUAGGAAGUUUUAUUUGGGCUAUAGAAGCAUGUAUUUAGUUGGGGUGACAGAAAAAUUUGGAUAACUUUUUUUUAUGUAUAAAUAUUUAUUUGUAAGUUUAUGAUCCUAAGGUUUAGAUUAUAAGAUUAAAUUACCUCAGGGAUAACAGCGUAAUUUUUUCUAGAGUUCUUAUCGAAGAAAAAGUUUGCGACCUCGAUGUUGGAUUAAAAUUUGUUGUUGGUGUAGGAGCUAACAAACUAGGUCUGUUCGACCUUUAAAAUUUUACAUGAUCUGAGUUUAGACCGGUGUGAGCCAGGUCGGUU